CCUACUGGCGGCAGCAGUGGGGAAUAUUGGGCAAUGGAGGAAACUCUUACCCAGCAACGCCGCGUGAAUUAUGAAGGUCUUCGGAUUGUAAAGUUCUUUUCUAAGGGAAGAAGAAAGUGACGGUACCUUAGGAAUAAUCCUCGGCUAACUACGUGCCAGCAGCCGCGGUAAUACGUAGGAGGCAAGCGUUAUCCGGAAUGCCUGGGCGUAAAGUGUGCGUAGGUGGUUCAGCAAGUUAGUAGCGUACUUCCGGAGCUCACCUUCGGCACUACUACUAAAACUGUUGGACGUGAGUGCAGGAGGGGCAACUGGAAGUCCUAGUGUAGCGGUGGAAUGCGUAGAUAUUAGGAAGAACACCGGUGGCGAAGGCAGCAUACCGGCGCCCAACUGACGCUGAAGCACGAAAGCGUGGGUAUCGAACAGGAUUAGAUACCCUGGUAGUC
Molecule: ribosomal RNA, 443 nt
Filed under: uncultured bacterium
Lineage: Bacteria
Description: partial 16S ribosomal RNA
Rfam family: Bacterial small subunit ribosomal RNA
Source: RNAcentral